UGAUCCCCUAUGAGGCCUGUUUAGCUGAC
RNAcentral lists this non-coding RNA (29 nucleotides) under Mus musculus (house mouse). The record is from RNAcentral. Lineage: Eukaryota; Metazoa; Chordata; Mammalia; Rodentia; Muridae.